UUGAAGUGUCUACCUUUGUGGGUCUUCUUU
RNAcentral lists this non-coding RNA (30 nucleotides) under Rattus norvegicus (Norway rat). The record is from RNAcentral. Lineage: Eukaryota; Metazoa; Chordata; Mammalia; Rodentia; Muridae.